RNAcentral lists this ribosomal RNA (278 nucleotides) under uncultured bacterium. RNAcentral's name for it is "partial 16S ribosomal RNA". It matches the Rfam family "Bacterial small subunit ribosomal RNA", at positions 80 to 354 of the family's 1533-position model. The record is from RNAcentral.
UACUCCCGCCGGCGACCGGCGCACGGGUGAGUAACACGUAUGAAACCUGCCCGUAGCAGGGGGAUAAGCGGAAGAAAUUCCGUCUAAUACCGCGUAACAACCCGAGGAGGCAUCUCCUCGGGUUUAAAGGAAGCGAUUCCGGCUACGGAUGGUCAUGCGUCGCAUUAGCUAGUUGGCGGGGUAACGGCCCACCAAGGCGACGAUGCGUGGGGGUUCUGAGAGGAAGGUCCCCCACACUGGUACUGAGACACGGACCAGACUCCUACGGAAGGCAGCAG